RNAcentral lists this long non-coding RNA (6463 nucleotides) under Brassica rapa (field mustard). RNAcentral describes it as "long non-coding RNA (BRAP_LNC006988)". The record is from RNAcentral. Lineage: Eukaryota; Viridiplantae; Streptophyta; Magnoliopsida; Brassicales; Brassicaceae.
GUUGAUUUCCAUCUGUAAUUUCUUUCCGAUUCUUGCAUCCAAUUCCAGAUUGUAUCAAGCAAUGUUCAUCGCUAAACUAGAAUAGGUAUGUUUCCGGUUUAGCUCGCUUCCGCAUAUAGAUAUCUAACAGUUCUAUUAUACCAGUAGUGACCAUGAGCGUCGUCUUUUCGAGAUCUAAUGAAUGUUUCUUGGUACUUCAACCUUCCUCAAUAUAUAUCUAGUGUUGUAACAAUGUCAUUAGAUCUCAAGAUAUAUUUGCAUACAUUAUCUUACUUCCUUAUUGUUUUGCAAAUUUUCAGUUGUUCUACCACUCAUCAUCACGAUGAUUGAUUCAAUUGUUGUUUCCGUAAUAUCGUAUCUUACAAAACCACUAUUUCAUUGUUGUUUUGAUACGAUUAUAGCAGGGUUUGGUGGAUUCUCGAGAAUUAUCUUGAUGAGUCUACAAAAUAUUGAAAAUAGCUUUUGAAAGUAGAAGAAAAAUCUUUGUAUAUUUUCCUUUAUUCACAAAUGCAAAACUAUACAAUGUAUACGGUGGUUAACCUAUAAAGAGUGAAUGCAAAAGAAAAAGAACUCCGAAAAAAAAAUGUAAUUUCGUUUAAGAACUGGAGAAUUGUCAACAUCUCUAGUAAUUUGCCUAUUACGCCCGAGAUGGAAACGUUAAGAGACAAGACAUUGUAGCUUGAAAAUCAAGUAAUGAGUAAAGGUAUGUUCACUUCACAUAAAGUAAAACAGAAUUGUCCAUAUUUCUAUUGAAAAAAUAUGUGACGUAAGCCCCACGACAUGGCUGGUUCUUUGAUCUAACCGUAUAUUUUGUGAUUAGAAAGUUUCAAACAUUUUUUGGCACAUAUUGUCGUAGGUAUGCAGUAGUUUCUUAGUUUCUUGCCACUGCCUCUUGAUUUUAAUCAAGAUGCAGAAGAAGAGUCUAGUAGAUUGUUGCGGUUAGACAUGACAAACCCAAAAAAAAAAAGAACCAAACAUUAUUUUAGUAUCUAACUACUUCAAUAAAAUCAUGAAAAUCAAUCGUAGGUAUUACAAGUUUGGUCCUCUUAACAGAAUAAAAUCUAAAACUUCAAACAACUUAAUCUCCAGCUCUUAACUCCUUGUACGCAAAACCAGCCUUCUCAAGAAGAAAAGCUAUUACAUUGGUUCUUGUACUAAUCCGUACUAACCUUCUUAUCAACACUUGACUUACUGAGGAUUACAACUCCAAUGGUGAUCGAUAAAGCCCCCGCAAACCACUGCAUUAUUUAUCGGAAAAUGUAUAAGCCAAACUCAUCUUACAACUCCAAAACUACCAUUUCCACAUAACAAUUGGUGUCCUAAAUACACGUUAUGUAAUCUGCAAUAGUAAUAGGCUUUGACAUCCAAGAAAAGCAUAACAUAAGAAACAUUGUUUUCAAGAUUUAAAAAAAAAACUUACACGGAAUGAUAAGGACUCGUGAAACAGAAAGAGGCCAGCAAAACCAGAAGAGAGAAAAUUAGCAGCAAAGUUAGUGACUGUAGCUUGUAGAGAAGAGAGAGCUCUUAAGCUGUUUACAUAACAUCCCCACAUUACCACAUUGCAUAAUACAACCAAUCCAUACUUUAUCACCUGUUAAACAUUAAAAAAUUUCCAAAAUUAAAUUAAUCAAAAUCCUCUAAGGAAAAAAAAAACAAAUGAAUCCAAGAAAAUGUUUUUAUUAUUAUUACGAGAGAUGAGAAGAACUUUGCAGAGAUGGCAGCAAGAGCUGCAUUGAACCCAGCAGAGAUUGCCCAGAUGUAUCCUCUUUUCUUUAGCUGUACAUCACCCAUGGAUCCACCUUCUGAGGUUUUUCACAAUCAACGAUACGAUCAGAAAGAAAAAACUGCACAAACUUCAAUCAAUUUCAGAGUAUUGAAGUGUUUUCAUGAGUCUCUUUGGGUUCUAAUCAUACUUUUGAUUUGUCGCAGUUUCCCCUUUUCGUUUCCCCUUAGGCUACAGAUUGGAUCAAAUCUGAAAUUGGAGAAGAAGAAGCCACGUUAAACACUUUAUUUGGUCAUAUCUGCUUUGAUUGGGCUUACGGCCCAUUACUAUUUCAGAGCCCAUUUAUGAAUCUCAAAGAUCAAGUAAAUGGAAGAAUUAGGCUUGGGCGUUCGGGUACCCGUUGGCGUUCGGAUUAGGUUUUUCGGAUUUUGGUUCUUUUUUAUAACACCUCCUAGGUCCUAUUCUAGUAAAUUUGCAAGUACAGGUCGGGUUCGGAUAUAACACAUCGGCUCGGGUCGGUGUUGCAUCACAUCAUAGAAUCCAUAAAGUAACCAUAUAUCAUUCGGAUUCGGGUUAUAUCAGAUCAAUUCUGAUAUACCCAAAAUAAAAUCUAAAAUUUAAAAGAAAAAUAUAAGAAAUAUAUACUUAUGUAUAUAUAAUUAAGUAUUUAAAGUAGUUAUUUAAAUUUUAAAUACUUAUUAUUAGAUAUCGUAUCAAAAUAAAUAUGAAACUGAAUAUUUGAAGUAUAUAUUCAUGUUUCAUAUAAUUAUAUUGUAUAUUAGAUUGAACAUUCGGAGCGGUUUCUUCGGAUAUCUCUUCGAAUUUUUUGGGUUUUUUAGUUUUUCGGGUUCGGUUAAUAACACUUCGGGUUCGGAUAUGUUUUUACUAUCUUACAAGAUCCAUUCAGGUAUUUUUUACAUUUCGGAACAGGUACGGAUCGGAUUUUUCGGUUCGGGUUCGGAUUUUGGAUUAUGGAUUUUAUGCCUAGGCCUAGAAAGAAUAAUGCAGUCAUUUAAGGAGUGUAACAAUCAAACCAAAAUCGGUUCAAAUGAUGUUUGAGAUCUGAAGUAGCUUUGGAGGGUGACUGGUAAGUGAUGUGGCUUUUAUUUUUUGGAUUUAGAAUAGUUAUUGUAGAUUUCUUUGCUGUAACUAUUUUUUGGUGUAACUUUGUAAAUCACUAUUUUUUUUCUUUAGAAAUAAAGUUUUCUACAACCAUUUUUUUUAUAUUUUUUCAAAGAUAUAUUUGCACUCUAGCUUUUUUUAAAAGAGAGGAAAACAUGAUUAGUUGACAUGUAUGACUUUAAACUAAAUUUUAGUUUUUUAGAUUAUCUACAGCUAUAACCAAUUACCCCCUUAAUGAAGCUAUGUUUAGCUUGCAGCAUGGUUAUAAAUUUAAGCUGUGUAUACAUGAUUUAACUGUUUUUUUAGUUUUGGAUUUUUUUCUAAAUUAACUGUUUAGUUCAUAUUAAUUAAUUAUGAUGCAUAAAAAUAUGAGUGACAUUUCAUUAUAAUUAUUUUAUUAUUAUUAUUUCACAAAAUUAAGGACAAAAUCUUAUGAAAGAUUUUUCAUUAAUAGUGUAGAAGAUAGAUAAAAAUGGUCAAACAAAGAUAAUGAUUUGUUUCUUUUAUAAAAUACCAACGGAAAUGAAUAACAUUAAUAAUAAUAGUAUAAUGUCAUAAAUACAAGGUAAAUAAAAACCAAAAUAGAUUUAAAUAAACAUGAAAGCGUUAAACCAAAUAAAUAAUAUCCUCGCACACAAGAAGUAAAACGUUUGGCUACUUCAUAAACUCAUGAAUAUGGUUUAUUAUUGACUUGCUUUAACAUGUUCAACGAGAGUCUCUGUACCUCCCACAUACUGUACAAAUGCAACUACAUUAGCAUAUUAUACUUUUGUUGUCAAACCAAAUAAACACAUCCAUGAGGAUUGAAAUAUUUAAAUGUACAUUGUGAGAACAAACAUCCACCUCUAAAAUUAUUCACGAACACUUCAAUUUUAUAAUACGUUAUCUUGUGAAAAUAGUCUAUUCAGGUCCAAGCGAUGCUAAACCAUGAUUAGUAAUUCACUUACUAGAUUCAGUAUCAUUUUAAAAACAAAGUAUUUAACCAAUACAUCCUGAGUGAAGCUCUAACCAGAUUGUCACAUCUAUGAUAUGAACAAAGUAUUCGAGGAUUGUUACUACUUUAAGAAUAAAAUGAAAGAACUUGUUAUCUUCAUUCAAACAACAUAAUUACAAAACAAACACACAAAUUUACAUGUUUUCUUUUUGGAACAUCGACUUUACUUUUGUGUUUUAAGUUAAACUAUAUUUACUUUGGUAUAACUAUACGUUAUUUAUUCUAUUUGUAUUGAAUCGAUAAAUGAAACUACUUAUACUAUUAUUCUUUGACCUAAACAAUUUUAAAAUAAAGUAAUACACUACUGUCACUAACCAAUAUCAAAUUGAUCAAAAAUAAUAAUUUUGAACUCAUUAGAGAAUAAAACAUACGAAUCCGACGCAUAGCGUCGGAAUACCACUAAUAGUAUAAUACUUGGACAUGUUAUUUGAAUUACAAGCCUAUGAAGGGCGUGACUGUAUAUAGACGAGUCCAUUUUUAUUGUUCCCAAUUCAAACCAUUUUGUGAUUAAUCCUUCAAGCAUAUAGUCUCGUUUAUUGGACUGAUGCAAUUCCUAGUUAAUGUGUCUUUUCUAGUUUAGUUUGGUACUCAAAUAUUCUUUUAAAAGAAAUCAUUUGCAGUUUUGCACUCAGCCAGAUAACUGAAAUGAAACCCGUUACGUACUUACGUAAUGUAACGGAAAGAACGAACAAACCGUCUUUUCGAAAAAAAAAAUGAAAAACGAACAAAACGAGGCGUAUAUAACGGAACUACAUGCACUUCCAAAUUUAAUAAUUUUUUUAACAAAAAAAAAAGAUUGUUUAUGAGACCUUAUUAUAAUUAUUAAAUUAUAUUUCUGAAGAAAAAAAAAAUCGAUCAUUCUUUUCCAGUACACAUCGAUGGACUCACUUUAAAAACACGACUUGAUAAAUGAUACACUGUACGUUCAAGGUUGUAUUCUUUGUAUAUGUAAUUAAUCAAUCUCAGAUUUCUUAAUCAUGUAAAAUAAGAAGAUACAAGGAAAAGAAAACACAAAAGUUAGAUAUUGAUGAAGCCAAUAACAUUAGACAUUAUGUGGGGGGAAUAAUGAAGAGUAGUUGGUGAAAAGUGAAAACCUUCCUAUGUCUUCCACAUAAUCAUUUCAUCAUUGGAAGCAUAUAUAUUUGUUGGACAAAGCUUUUUAAACGGUGGACAUCCGAAGCGCAAAGGGCAGCCUUUUGCUAGAAUUAUUUGAGCCUACUUUAGCAAUAUAAUAACAAGAACAAAAUGUAUCUUCUGUUCUUGUCAAGGUGUUUUCGAUUCAUGAGAUCUGAACACAUUUAUAUUUUGCUAUGUAAUAUGUAUAUGUAUCUAUCAAAUUUUUUUUUUUAAUGAUUGAUCUUAUAUCUCUAGUCGCGAUGCAGGUUACUAAUUUCCAUUUUUAGUUACAUUUCCUUAAAAGUUUAUUAGAAUUUGAUGUAAGAAAAAAAGUAGGGACACACUUUGCAUUAGAGGUCAAAGAUAAUUGGCUAGGGUCAUAUAUAGCUUAGGUACAUAUAUAUCUUUAAUUUAGUUUAGCUAUUUGCUUAAAGGAGACGAUAGAACUAAUGUUUCGCUUGUCUUCUUUUUUAUAGUCUGCAGCAGUUAGGAAUGUCAAACAGGUUGAUCCGUCCCGUCCUGUCCUGUAUCGCUGCAAGCUCGCCUUCUCGGGAUCAUGGCGGACCAGGCCCACGCGGACUGCAGUUACCAAAACGCCAGCCCGAUCCUGCACCGCAUAAAUGCACAGUACCUUACAGAUCGUCCCGCGGGCUGGACGGAAAAUGAGUGCAUCAGGACACUUCUGUACGCUGCAGGCUGCUCCAGUGCUCCAGGACACUUCAAGCUAAUUCAGUAGUCCAGUACACACCUAAAUGCACAUAAUGAAGAUACAUUCAGGCAUCUACUAUUCAAGCUCAACAAAAUUUGUUAUAUAUUGUUUUUGUUCUUGAAGUUGUUGAAGUCUAUUUUUCUAUCACAAGUGCAUGUAUAAGAUGACAUAAUUAUAUAUAUAUAUAGUCAUAACCAAACUUAAAGUGGAUGUAGAAGAUGUGAUGUUAAGUCUGAAGCACAUUAAGUUAAAAAAAAAAAAACCAAAUCAUAGUACUUAAAAGAAAACCAAACAACUUAAACAAAAAAUCUCAAAUUGUAAAUAAAGCAAAACACCAACUAAAUAUAACAUUUCAAACGUGCUCAUCUUCAUUUAUCCAUCGACAAUAAACUCAAAUGAUGAUAAUUUCUCUUCUUCCCCAUCACCAUCACCAUCACCAUCGAUUUCUUCAUCGGUAAAUAUCAAAAACUUUAUUUACUUAGGACUGAGGAUAUAGUACUCUACAAUAAAUUAUAAUGUGAGUUAUUUACCAUGUGCAUAAGAUUUGUAUCCCUUGAUCCAAUUGCUUGUGCAUAUAAGAGAUUGCACAUAUUUGGGAGUAGACGGCUUCUAUAUUUGUUAAGAAUUCGGGAUCCAAUACUAAAGGAGGACUCCGAAGCCACUGUUGUGAUUGAAAUACUUAACAGAUCACAUGUCAUUGUAGUCAAGUCACCAUACUGAUGAGCAUUAUCUUUCCAACAAUCAAGUAUGUCCAAGCUCUGGAAAUUAGUAAUAUCCAAAGGUGGUUCUUCAAGAUAAG